This 457-nucleotide ribosomal RNA is filed under the name uncultured bacterium. Its description in RNAcentral is "partial 16S ribosomal RNA". It matches the Rfam family "Bacterial small subunit ribosomal RNA", at positions 338 to 795 of the family's 1533-position model. The record is from RNAcentral.
CCUACGGGAUGCUGCAGUGGGGAAUAUUGCACAAUGGGGGAAACCCUGAUGCAGCGACGCCGCGGGAGUGAAGCAGUAUUUCGGUACGUAAAGCUCUAUCAGCAGGGAAGAAAAAAAGUCCUUUGGACUUUGGACGGUACCUGACCAAGAAGCCCCGGCUAACUACGUGCCAGCAGCCGCGGUAAUACGUAGGGGGCAAGCGUUAUCCGGAUUUACUGGGUGUAAAGGGAGCGUAGACGGCAGCGCAAGUCUGGAGUGAAAUGCCGGGGCCCAACCCCGGAACUGCUUUGGAAACUGUGCAGCUGGAGUGCAGGAGAGGUAAGCGGAAUUCCUAGUGUAGCGGUGAAAUGCGUAGAUAUUAGGAGGAACACCAGUGGCGAAGGCGGCUUACUGGACUGUAACUGACGUUGAGGCUCGAAAGCGUGGGGAGCAAACAGGAUUAGAUACCCGUGUAGUC